UAAAUAAUAAUAAUAAAAAAGAUUUAUUCCGAACUUUUACCCAGCAGUAUAUAUUUGUUAAACAAGGUAGCCUUACAUUUAUUCACCAUUUCAAUCAUUUUAUGCAACAAAGAUUUAUAAAGUAAAAUAUGAUUACAAAAACAUGCUGACUUCAAUGGGUCACAUAAAAUUUUAUAUAUAUCAUAUUUGUGAUAUAUUUUGUCACUCCCAAUUAAAUUACACUCAAAACCAGUACAUGCUCUGAUUGUUCAUUCCAAUAUUGUUACCAAGAAAUGACAGCCAUUCUAACCAGCCUGCUUUGCAGCACACCAGUAGCCAUGUGGACAUAUUGGAGUACACUUUACAGAUGGAGCUGGAAUGCACAAGAUGACAGAUCAAGACUUCUCCCUUUAUUGACUGUAACUGACAUCUUCAUCCGAUUGCCGGCAUCUCUCCUUCCUCCAUUGUUGGUGCUCUCAUCUGUGGUGUUUCCACACGGUUGCGUGGCGGUGCGCUGGGAUUUCACAGCAUUCUGACUCAAGCUGACACUGUGACAGGCGAGCAGGUGGGAGAAAAGCGCACUAGUCAUUCUCAGACAGAAAGUGCAAUAAAGGGGAGCUUAUCGAAAAGCCCCAUCAUGGCAGAAACAUUCCUUUAAAUGAAAUGAGUUGAAUGCAACUUUGCAGCAAAGGGGGAGAGGAAAAGAAAAUAAAAAUGCUAAGUAUUCAACAUUCACUCCAUUAAAUCCUGGCGUGUUUGUGCUUUCUCAGCUAGCUUGCACAACUUAAUUAAAUCCCAUCUUGUUUUCGAGUGCAUCUGAAUAUGAUUUAUUUCAAUAAGGGAGAGGCAAGAGCUACAACAGACUUUAUAAAUAAUAAUUUCUGAUAUCAAAACAUUACCGUGCCUAAGAUUUGGGAUCUUCUGCUCAGUGCUGAGAAAGAAAAAAAUCUAACGAAUAAUAAAUAGCUUACAUUUAUCUUGUAGUUGUAGGCCUAAACACCUUUUUGUUGUAGGCCUAACUCAUGUUUUCAUUAAUGCAGAUUUUUUUUUUUACACAAUUCCAGAUUUAAGUUCAAGUUCAAAGUUCAUCUAUAUAACCUGCUGACUACAAGCACAGCUGAGAGUAACUGAUCACAUGUAA
Long non-coding RNA from Cyprinus carpio carpio, 1120 nucleotides. The record is from Ensembl. NCBI's taxonomy places the organism in Eukaryota, Metazoa, Chordata, Actinopteri, Cypriniformes, Cyprinidae.